GAUGAACGCUGGCGGCGUGCCUAAUACAUGCAAGUCGAGCGAACGGACGAGAAGCUUUCUUCUCUGAUGUUAGCGGCGGACGGGUGAGUAACACGUGGAUAACCUACCUAUAAGACUGGGAUAACUUCGGGAAACCGGAGCUACUACCGGAUAAUAUUUUGAACCGCAUGGUUCAAAAGUGAAAGACAGUCUUGCUGUCACUUAUAGAUGGAUCCGCGCUGCAUUAGCUAGUUGGUAAGGUAACGGCUUACCAAGGCAACGAUGCAUAGCCGACCUGAGAGGGUGAUCGGCCACAAUGGAACUGAGACACGGUCCAGACUCCUACGGGAGGCAGCAGUAGGGAAUCUUCCGCAAUGGGCGAAAGCCUGACGGAGCAACGCCGCGUGAGGGAUGAAGGUCUUCGGAUCGUAAAACUCUGUUAUUAGGGAAGAACAUAUGUGUAAGUAACUGUGCACAUCUUGACGGUACCUAAUCAGAAAGCCACGGCUAACUACGUG
RNAcentral lists this ribosomal RNA (497 nucleotides) under uncultured bacterium. Its description in RNAcentral is "partial 16S ribosomal RNA". It matches the Rfam family "Bacterial small subunit ribosomal RNA", at positions 28 to 507 of the family's 1533-position model. The record is from RNAcentral.